AAUUCCUUGUAAUCAAGUAGGUCAGUAGGUUUCAUUCAUUGUAAGUACUAUUUUGAGAAAGUUUGUCUGUAUUUGCUCCAAAAAGAUUUAAAAAAAAAAUGUAUUUGCAAUGAAAACCCAAAAAAUUAGGAAUUUGCCUAAUGAGGGUGGAUCUGCUGCGAGUCGCAACCGGAACCGCGGAGGAAAUUUGAAUCGUCACAAUUUUUAGGGACAGAAUCAAAAUAAUCCAAAUCUGUACCCUGCCAUGCUUCUCUAUGCCGUAUUGUGGUUGGACGAUCAAGAAAUGAAGAACACGACAGAUACGCUUUUUUGUGUGCCUUGGUACAUUCAUCCCAAACAAUGAGUUUACAUGCUCGCAGUUCUUUUCCCAUACCUGAUGUUGAAGUACAUUUGAAGAAAUUUAUGUUCACUGUCUGGGAACGGGAGCAGGGCGCCAGCUUUGUGAUAUGAUUUUGAAAGUUGGCAUGAAUUCGUCAGUUACAAUUUACGAACCAAAAGACGUCAUUUCAAGCAGAGUUCGCAGUGGCUCUGGUGGUGUUUCAAGUUGACGUAAUUUGAUUUUCCCGCCAGAACAACACAUUUCUUUCAUUUCAUUAAACUUCAGAGCCUGGCAGCAAGUGCGGACAUGGCUCAUCUGGCCAAUGACGACAUGGCGACUGGAGCUAUAAUCAACAGCUGGAUCAUAUCGAAAUGCAGGAAAUUGCUGAUUUCGAUCUACUGUUAUCUGUGCAUGGAAUUCAACAGACCUUGCCCUAUCGUGUUCAUGUCUUUGCAAGCGAAUUAAAUCUAUUGCUGUUGAUUUUCAAGCCUGA
RNA transcript from Drosophila ananassae, 812 nucleotides. It is a transcript of the gene named protein no-on-transient A-like, with no coding region annotated. Lineage: Eukaryota; Metazoa; Arthropoda; Insecta; Diptera; Drosophilidae. The record is from RefSeq and is a predicted model, not a curated record. The transcript has 3 exons.